RNAcentral lists this ribosomal RNA (486 nucleotides) under uncultured bacterium. RNAcentral describes it as "partial 16S ribosomal RNA". It matches the Rfam family "Bacterial small subunit ribosomal RNA", at positions 30 to 507 of the family's 1533-position model. The record is from RNAcentral.
AUUGAACGCUGGCGGCAUGCCUUACACAUGCAAGUCGAACGGCAGCACGGGUGCUUGCACCUGGUGGCGAGUGGCGAACGGGUGAGUAAUACAUCGGAACAUGUCCUGUAGUGGGGGAUAGCCCGGCGAAAGCCGGAUUAAUACCGCAUACGAUCUACGGAUGAAAGCGGGGGACCUUCGGGCCUCGCGCGAUAGGGUUGGCCGAUGGCUGAUUAGCUAGUUGGUGGGGUAAAGGCCUACCAAGGCGACGAUCAGUAGCUGGUCUGAGAGGACGACCAGCCACACUGGGACUGAGUCACGGCCCAGACUCCUACGGGAGGCAGCAGUGGGGAAUUUUGGACAAUGGGCGAAAGCCUGAUCCAGCAAUGCCGCGUGUGUGAAGAAGGCCUUCGGGUUGUAAAGCACUUUUGUCCGGAAAGAAAUCCUUGGCCCUAAUACGGUCGGGGGAUGACGGUACCGGAAGAAUAAGCACCGGCUAACUACGUG